RNAcentral lists this non-coding RNA (228 nucleotides) under Rikenella microfusus. The record is from RNAcentral. Lineage: Bacteria; Pseudomonadati; Bacteroidota; Bacteroidia; Bacteroidales; Rikenellaceae.
GAGGGUGCCCUUUCGGGGGCACGGGCGAUUAAUAGGGAACCGGGUGAAAGUCCCGGACAGUCCCGCUGCUGUGAACCUCAUCCGGAAUUCCGGAUCGCGGGUGCAGGACAAUCUUCGUUAUGCCACUGUUCGGGCGCGGCAUCCGGGUUUCGCCGGAAAUACGCGCACAGGGAACGGGAAGGCGCGUCCUAAAGCACUCCGGGGUAAGUCAGAAGACCUGCCUUGCCG